RNAcentral lists this transfer RNA (87 nucleotides) under Clostridia bacterium. RNAcentral's name for it is "tRNA-Ser". It matches the Rfam family "tRNA". From Rfam's summary of the family: Transfer RNA (tRNA) molecules are approximately 80 nucleotides in length. Their secondary structure includes four short double-helical elements and three loops (D, anti-codon, and T loops). Further hydrogen bonds mediate the characteristic L-shaped molecular structure. tRNAs have two regions of fundamental functional importance: the anti-codon, which is responsible for specific mRNA codon recognition, and the 3' end, to which the tRNAs corresponding amino acid is attached (by aminoacyl-tRNA synthetases). tRNAs cope with the degeneracy of the genetic code in two manners: having more than one tRNA (with a specific anti-codon) for a particular amino acid; and 'wobble' base-pairing, i.e. permitting non-standard base-pairing at the 3rd anti-codon position. Lineage: Bacteria; Bacillati; Bacillota; Clostridia. The record is from RNAcentral.
GGAGCGGUAUCGAAGUGGUCAUAACGAGCGCGACUCGAAAUCGUGUUGCCGUCAGGCACGUGGGUUCGAAUCCCACCCGCUCCGCCA